UAAGGCGGCCAGAGCGGUGAGGUUACACCCGUACCCAUCCCGAACACGGAAGUUAAGCUCACCUGCGUUUGGGCGAGUACUGGAGUGCGCGAGCCUCUGGGAAAAUUCAUUCGCCGCCUCCA
This 122-nucleotide ribosomal RNA is filed under the name Haloarchaeobius sp. HME9146. The record is from RNAcentral. Lineage: Archaea; Methanobacteriati; Methanobacteriota; Halobacteria; Halobacteriales; Halorubellaceae.